RNAcentral lists this transfer RNA (69 nucleotides) under Sphaerodactylus townsendi. RNAcentral describes it as "tRNA-Ala". Lineage: Eukaryota; Metazoa; Chordata; Lepidosauria; Squamata; Sphaerodactylidae. The record is from RNAcentral.
GGACUUGUUCAGUGGUCAAGUAUCUGCUUUGCACACAGAAGGUCCCAGGUUCAAGACCUGGCAUCUCCA